AAACCGUUCAGGGGUAAACCUGAGAAACCCAAAAGAUCGAAUGGGGAGAUUCAUCGUCAGCGGCCCUGACUUCGCGGUAGUGACGAUGCCGUAGGCUUCGGCUUAUCGGCACGUCAUAGGCCGCGAGUGUCCAGGCGUCCGUCGUCGUGCACUUCUCCCCUAGUAGGACGUCGCGACCCGUUGAGUGUCGGUCUACGGCCCAGGUGGGCGACUGUCGCGUAGCUUCGGCGUACGCGGCAGACCCUUGGUCGCCCGACCGGCUGCUCGGCGGUACGCGCAUGGUAUUUGGUCGCAAUCUUAAUUGCGUCCGGACGGUCGCAAGCGCGGCUUCAGUGUUAACUCGGAUGUCGGACUUUGCGCCGUCCCCGGGCCUGGCCAGCUGUUGGCGGACUGUUCUCUCGGACAGACCAUCGAAUUGAAUACCGGUCGGCGACGCUACUGCUUUGGGUACUCUCAGGACCCGUCUUGAAACACGGACCAAGGAGUCUAACAUGUGCGCGAGUCAUUGGGACGGAAAAGCCUAAAGGCGCAAUGAAAGUGAAGGUCGACCUAGCGUCGACAGAGGGAGGACGGGCCGCGUCACGAUGCGGCUCAGCACUCCCGGGGCGUCUCGUUCUCAUUGCGAGAAGAGGCGCACCUAGAGCGUACACGUUGGGACCCGAAAGAUGGUGAACUAUGCCUGGUCAGGACGAAGUCAGGGGAAACCCUGAUGGAGGUCCGUAGCGAUUCUGACGUGCAAAUCGAUCGUCGGAACUGGGUAUAGGGGCGAAAGACUAAUCGA
This 781-nucleotide ribosomal RNA is filed under the name Rhopalosoma nearcticum. RNAcentral's name for it is "eukaryotic LSU rRNA". It matches the Rfam family "Eukaryotic large subunit ribosomal RNA", at positions 402 to 938 of the family's 3401-position model. Lineage: Eukaryota; Metazoa; Arthropoda; Insecta; Hymenoptera; Rhopalosomatidae. The record is from RNAcentral.